Molecule: ribosomal RNA, 498 nt
Filed under: uncultured bacterium
Lineage: Bacteria
Description: partial 16S ribosomal RNA
Rfam family: Bacterial small subunit ribosomal RNA
Source: RNAcentral
AUUGAACGCUGGCGGCAUGCCUUACACAUGCAAGUCGAACGGUAACAGGUCUUCGGAUGCUGACGAGUGGCGAACGGGUGAGUAAUACAUCGGAACGUGCCUAGUAGUGGGGGAUAACUACUCGAAAGAGUGGCUAAUACCGCAUGAGAUCUACGGAUGAAAGCAGGGGAUCGCAAGACCUUGUGCUACUAGAGCGGCCGAUGUCAGAUUAGGUAGUUGGUGGGAUAAAAGCUUACCAAGCCGACGAUCUGUAGCUGGUCUGAGAGGACGAUCAGCCACACUGGGACUGAGACACGGCCCAGACUCCUACGGGAGGCAGCCGUGGGGAAUAUUGGACAAUGAGCGCAAGCCUGAUCCAGCAAUGCCGCGUGCAGGAUGAAGGCCUUCGGGUUGUAAACUGCUUUUGUACGGAACGAAAAGCCCCGGGUUAAUACCCUGGGGUCAUGACGGUACCGUAAGAAUAAGCACCGGCUAACUACGUGCCAGCCGCCGCGGUAA